RNAcentral lists this ribosomal RNA (463 nucleotides) under uncultured bacterium. RNAcentral's name for it is "bacterial SSU rRNA". It matches the Rfam family "Bacterial small subunit ribosomal RNA", at positions 33 to 507 of the family's 1533-position model. The record is from RNAcentral.
ACGCUGGCGGCGUGCUUAACACAUGCAAGUCGAACGGUGACGAAUGGAGCUUGCUCUGUUCUGAUCAGUGGCGAACGGGUGAGUAACACGUGAGUAACCUGCCCCUGACUCUGGAAUAACUUCGGGAAACCGAAGCUAAUACCGGAUAUGACACAGAGCCGCAUGGUUUCUGUGUGGAAAGUUUUCGGUUGGGAUGGACUCGCGGCCUAUCAGCUUGUUGGUGAGGUAAUGGCUCACCAAGGCGACGACGGGUAGCCGGCCUGAGAGGGCGACCGGCCACACUGGGACUGAGACACGGCCCAGACUCCUACGGGAGGCAGCAGUGGGGAAUAUUGCACAAUGGGCGAAAGCCUGAUGCAGCGACGCCGCGUGAGGGAUGAAGGCCUUCGGGUUGUAAACCUCUUUCAGUAGGGAAGAAGCGCAAGUGACGGUACCUACAGAAGAAGCACCGGCUAACUACGUG